CAACAGGGAUUGCCCUAGUAACGGCGAGUGAAGCGGCAACAGCUCAAAUUUGAAAUCUGGCUUCGGCCCGAGUUGUAAUUUGCAGAGGAUGUUUCUGGCGCGGUGCCUUCCGAGUUCCCUGGAACGGGACGCCAUAGAGGGUGAGAGCCCCGUAUGGUUGGAUACCAAGCCUGUGUGAAACUCCUUCGACGAGUCGAGUAGUUUGGGAAUGCUGCUCAAAAUGGGAGGUAAAUCUCUUCUAAAGCUAAAUAUUGGCCAGAGACCGAUAGCGCACAAGUAGAGUGAUCGAAAGAUGAAAAGCACCUUGAAAAGGGGGUUAAACAGUACGUGAAAUUGUUGAAAGGGAAGCGCUCAUGACCAGACUUGUGCUGGGCAGCUCAUCCGGGGUUCUCCCCGGUGCAUUCUGCCCAGUUCAGGCCAGCAUCGAUUUUUGCUGGGGGAUAAGAACGGAAGGAACGUGGCCCUCCUUCGGGAGGGUGUUAUAGCCUACCGUACGAUACCCUAGCGGAGAUCGAGGUUCGCGCAUCUGCAAGGAUGCUGGCGUAAUGGUCAUCAGCGACCCGUCUUGAAACACGGACCAAGGAGUCGUCCAUUAGAGCGAGCGUUUGGGUGUAAAACCCGCACGCGUAAUGAAAGUGAAAUUAGGUGAGAGCUUCGGCGCAUCAUCGACCGAUCCUGAUGUUCUCGGAUGGAUUUGAGUAAGAGAUGUAACGGACGGACCCGAAAGACAGUGAACUAUGCUUGUAUAGGGUGAAGCCAGAGGAAACUCUGGUGGAGGCUCGCAGCGGCUCUGACGUGCAAAUCGAUCGUCAAAUAUGAGCAUGGGGGCGAUAGACUAAUCGAACUGUCUAGCAGCUGGUUACCGCCGA
This 869-nucleotide ribosomal RNA is filed under the name Coniella vitis. Its description in RNAcentral is "partial large subunit ribosomal RNA". It matches the Rfam family "Eukaryotic large subunit ribosomal RNA", at positions 66 to 964 of the family's 3401-position model. The record is from RNAcentral. Lineage: Eukaryota; Fungi; Ascomycota; Sordariomycetes; Diaporthales; Schizoparmaceae.